This 513-nucleotide ribosomal RNA is filed under the name uncultured bacterium. Its description in RNAcentral is "partial 16S ribosomal RNA". It matches the Rfam family "Bacterial small subunit ribosomal RNA", at positions 355 to 859 of the family's 1533-position model. The record is from RNAcentral.
UAGGGAAUCUUCCACAAUGGACGCAAGUCUGAUGGAGCAACGCCGCGUGAGUGAAGAAGGUUUUCGGAUCGUAAAGCUCUGUUGUUGGUGAAGAAGGAUAGAGGCAGUAACUGGUCUUUAUUUGACGGUAAUCAACCAGAAAGUCACGGCUAACUACGUGCCAGCAGCCGCGGUAAUACGUAGGUGGCAAGCGUUGUCCGGAUUUAUUGGGCGUAAAGCGAGCGCAGGCGGAAUGAUAAGUCUGAUGUGAAAGCCACGGCUCAACCGUGGAACUGCAUCGGAAACUGUCAUUCUUGAGUGCAGAAGAGGAGAGUGGAACUCCAUGUGUAGCGGUGGAAUGCGUAGAUAUAUGGAAGAACACCAGUGGCGAAGGCGGCUCUCUGGUCUGCAACUGACGCUGAGGCUCGAAAGCAUGGGUAGCGAACAGGAUUAGAUACCCUGGUAGUCCAUGCCGUAAACGAUGAGCGCUAGGUGUUGGGGACUUUCCGGCCCUGCAGUGCCGCAGCAAACGCA